CCUACGGGGGGCAGCAGUGGGGAAUAUUGGACAAUGGGGGCAACCCUGAUCCAGCGAUGCCGCGUGUGUGAAGAAGGCCUGAGGGUUGUAAAGCACUUUAGUUGGGGAGGAAAGUCUCUUGUCGAAUAGGCAAGAGAGAAGACGUUACCCAAAGAAUAAGCACCGGCGAACUCUGUGCCAGCAGCCGCGGUAAUACAGAGGGUGCAAGCGUUAAUCGGAAUGACUGGGCGUAAAGGGCACGUAGGCGGCUAGAUGUGUUAUAGGUGAAAUCCCCGGGCUUAACCUGGGAACUGCCUAUAAAACUGUUUGGCUAGAAUAUAGGAGAGGUAAGUGGAAUUUCCGGUGUAGCGGUGAAAUGCGUAGAUAUCGGAAAGAACACCAGUGGCGAAGGCGACUUACUGGUCUAAUAUUGACGCUGAGGUGCGAAAGCGUGGGGAGCAAACGGGAUUAGAUACCCCGGUAGUCCACGCUGUAAACGAUGAGAACUAGAUGCUUGUUGACUAAGGUUAAUGAGUAUUGAAGCAAACGCGUUAAGUUCUCCNCCUGGGGAGUACNGCCNCNAGGUUNAAACUCAAAGGAAUNGACGGGGGCCCNCCCNAGCGGUGGANCAUGUGGUUUANUUCNAUGCACNCGAAAACCUUACCUACCCUUGACAUGUCAGGAAUCCUGCAAAAUNCNGGAAUNCCCCCNAGGAACCU
Molecule: ribosomal RNA, 698 nt
Filed under: uncultured bacterium
Lineage: Bacteria
Description: partial 16S ribosomal RNA
Rfam family: Bacterial small subunit ribosomal RNA
Source: RNAcentral